GCUAAGAAUAUUCCGCAAUGGACGAAAGUCUGACGGAGCGACGCCGCGUGGAUGAUGAAGGCCGAAAGGUUGUAAAGUCCUUUUGCUGGGGAAGAAUAAGCAUGGGAGGUAAUGCCCGUGCGAUGACAUGAACCGGCGAAUAAGCCCCGGCUAACUACGUGCCAGCAGCCGCGGUAACACGUAGGGGGCGAGCGUUGUUCGGAAUUACUGGGCGUAAAGGGCAUGUAGGCGGCUUGAUAAGCCUGGCGUGAAAGUCACCGGCUCAACCGGUGGAUUGCGUUGGGAACUGUUGGGCUUGAAUCACGGAGAGGGAGCUAGAAUUCCAGGUGUAGGGGUGAAAUCUGUAGAGAUCUGGAAGAAUACCAGUGGCGAAGGCGAGCUCCUGGCCGAUGAUUGACGCUGAGGUGCGAAAGUGUGGGGAUCAAACAGGAUUAGAAACCCGGGUAGUCC
This 450-nucleotide ribosomal RNA is filed under the name uncultured bacterium. RNAcentral describes it as "partial 16S ribosomal RNA". It matches the Rfam family "Bacterial small subunit ribosomal RNA", at positions 354 to 796 of the family's 1533-position model. The record is from RNAcentral.